GACGAACGCUGGCGGCGUGCCUAAUACAUGCAAGUCGAGCGAACGGACGAGAAGCUUGCUUCUCUGAUGUUAGCGGCGGACGGGUGAGUAACACGUGUAUAAUCUACCUAUAUGACUGGGAUAACCUCGGGAAACCGGCGCUUAUACCGGAUAAUAUUUUGAACCGUAUUGUUCAAAAGUGAAAUACGGUCUUGCUGUCACUUAUAGAUGGUUCCGCGCUGCAUGGGCUAGUUGGUAAGGUAACGGCUUACCAAGGCAACGAUGCAUAGCCGACCUGAGAGAGUGAUCGGCCACACUGGAGGGGAGACGGGGACCAGACUCCUAAGGGAGGCAGCAGAAGGCGACGGUAGGCAGUGGGCGGGAAGCUGACGCAGCAAGGCGGCGCGGGUGAUGAAGAUCUUGGGAUCGUGAUACUGUGUUAGUGGGGGAGAACAUAUGUGUAAGUUGUUGUACACUUCUUGACGGUAACGGAUAAGAAAGCCACGGCUAACUACGUG
Molecule: ribosomal RNA, 497 nt
Filed under: uncultured bacterium
Lineage: Bacteria
Description: partial 16S ribosomal RNA
Rfam family: Bacterial small subunit ribosomal RNA
Source: RNAcentral